Molecule: unclassified non-coding RNA, 453 nt
Filed under: uncultured Bordetella sp.
Lineage: Bacteria; Pseudomonadati; Pseudomonadota; Betaproteobacteria; Burkholderiales; Alcaligenaceae
Description: partial 16S-23S ribosomal RNA intergenic spacer
Source: RNAcentral
CUGUUGAAUCUAAUCCUGUUUGCUCCCCACGCUUUCGAUAUGAGCGUCAGGUUGAUCCCGGAGCUGCCUUCGCCGUCGGUGUUCUCCCGCAUAUCUACGCAUUUCACUGCUACACGCGGAAUUCCACCUCCCUCUGACACUCUAGCUCGGUAGUUAAAAAUGCAGUUCCAAAGUUAAGCUCUGGGGUUCACAUCUUUCUUUCCAAUUGUGCUGCGCACGCUUCCGCCCAGUAAUUCGAUUAACGCUUGCAUUAUUGGUAAUAUUUCGCAGCUGCUGGCACGUGAUUAGCCGGUGCUUAUUCUGCGAGUACCGUCAGUUGCACGAGGGUAUUAUCCGGCCGUGCGCCGUUCUUCUCAUUAAAAGUGCUUUGUGACGAAGGCCUUCAUCGCACACGCGGGAUGGCUGGAUCAGGGUUUCCCCAUUGUCCAAAAUUCCCCACUGCUGCCUCCCGGU